RNAcentral lists this long non-coding RNA (1073 nucleotides) under Homo sapiens (human). Its description in RNAcentral is "HSALNT0085665". The record is from RNAcentral. Lineage: Eukaryota; Metazoa; Chordata; Mammalia; Primates; Hominidae.
AAAGUGGAGAAGGGAAAGAGCAAUGUGAAAGAGGAGAAGCUAAAGCAGCAGCAGCAAGCAAAUGCAGCAGUAGUAAUAGAAGAAGGAGAAACAGCAGAGGAGAGUGAGGAUAAACAGGAAAAUGAAGGGAGAGAAGGAAGAUAAGAACAAGGAAAAAAAGCUGGAGCAGUGUUUUAUUGGCGGUUUGAGACCAUCCAGAUAUCUCUCUCUGUGCACAGGAAUGAACAGCACUCCAGAUGGUGCAGCUCCGUCAGCCUUGAUGCCCAAUUGUACACAAUGAAUGGACUUCCCACCUGGCUAUAUGUUAUAUGCUCAAACAAGAAUGACCAUACAGCAUUAAUGACACAUAUAACUGCUACUUACAGACAAUUGGAUUUGUGCUUUGUAUUUUAUGGAUGUAUAAACUUACCCAGGCUGUCUGAUCCACCCCCUUCUCACAUUUAGUUUAAUAAAAAAAUUAGAAGCCAUCAUCUAAGAAACCCAUGCAAUCCUUGUUUGUCUCUGAAGCAUCCAUGUAUCUUCCAUUCUGUGUGAAUUUAAUGUCACCUGUACUCCUGGUUUUACUUACUUAAUUCUCUUGGCACCCUCAUUUUAUCAUUGUCUAUCUUAUCUAUGUAACCCAUCCCUUCUAUUAUAUUUAGAUGACUAAAAGUUUGUUUCUGGAACUCUAUUCUGUUUCAUUGUUCUAUUGGUUUAUCUUUGCACCAAUCCCACAUUGUUUCAAUUACUCUAGAUUUUUGACAAGUCUUUCAAUAUAGCAGUAUGUUUAAGUAAAUUAUCAAGCUUAGGGUUCUUUUUUAAGAUUUUUUUUUUGGCUAUUUUUGGCCCUGGGUAUUUUCAUAUGUAUCUUAGAACCAGUAUGUUGAUUUUGGCAAAUAUUAUUAUUCUGGGUGUGGCCUAUAGUUGAAUUUAAAAUAAGCAUCUUUAUAUCAUUGGAUUUUCUAGUAUAUGAAUGUAAGAUACAUUCUUAUGUUUACUUUGCUCCUCUUUAAUUUCUCUCAUCAAUGUUGUGUAAUUUUCAGGUACUGACCUUUCAUUUUAUUUUGGCUGUUUAAGGCUUUGGUGUUUUUUGU